GACGAACGCUGGCGGCGUGCCUAACACAUGCAAGUCGAGCGGAGGUACUUGAGGAGUAAUCUGAGGGUACUUUAGCGGCGGACGGGUGAGUAACGCGUGAGCAACCUGCCUUUCACAGGGGGAUAAGGCGGCGAAAGCCGCUCUAAUACCGCAUGAGACCACGGGGAUGAUAUUCCAAGGGUCAAAGGAGCAAUCCGGUGAGAGAUGGGCUCGCGUCCGAUUAGGUAGUUGGUGAGGUAACGGCCCACCAAGCCAAUGAUCGGUAGCCGGCCUGAGAGGGUGAACGGCCACAUUGGAACUGAGAGACGGUCCAGACUCCUACGGGAGGCAGCAGUGGGGAAUAUUGCACAAUGGGCGAAAGCCUGAUGCAGCAACGCCGCGUGAGUGAUGAAGGCCUCGGUUGUAAGCUCUGUCUUUGGGUACGGAGUAAUGACGGUACCCGAACGGAGGAAGGACCACGGCUAACUACGUGCCAGCAGCCGCGGUAACUAGUAGUCGU
Molecule: ribosomal RNA, 499 nt
Filed under: uncultured bacterium
Lineage: Bacteria
Description: bacterial SSU rRNA
Rfam family: Bacterial small subunit ribosomal RNA
Source: RNAcentral